GGCUUCUAAUGAACCUCUUCAGGCUGCAGAGAGACAAGAUGACAGGCAACAGGGAGAACCAGAGGAGCAGGAUGAGCUUCAGUAUGCCAGUGUACAGUUCUCUCCAAACCAGGCAGAUCUAUACUCCAACAUCAGACCAGCUCAGCCAAUCAGACACACAGACAGACAGGAGGUCUCUGAAUAUGCUGCUGUCAGGUUUACUGGUAAUGCCCCAAGAACCAGGAGACCAGAAGAGGAUACUGCUGCACUGUAUAGCACAGUCAACAAACACUGAUAACAGCAGGCUCUUUAUUCAUUUUUCUAAAUAUCUCAUGUUGAUUUGUGUUUACACAUGCAUCACAUGUUAUUUUAAUUGUUGGUUAUUCCAAUAAUAUACCACUGUGACUAUGAAAAUCAUAGUUACAAGACAACAUCUUUAUUUUACACACAGAAUUUUCUUUUUAAAUCUCAGCGUUUGUCCUCUCUGCAUAACCUGUGCUGUAUUUAUCCAAAUGUUAAUGUCUAUCCAGGAUUAGCUAGAGUGAU
Long non-coding RNA from Cheilinus undulatus (humphead wrasse), 525 nucleotides. RefSeq lists it as uncharacterized. Lineage: Eukaryota; Metazoa; Chordata; Actinopteri; Labriformes; Labridae. The transcript is spliced from 3 exons. The record is from RefSeq and is a predicted model, not a curated record.